Molecule: ribosomal RNA, 497 nt
Filed under: uncultured bacterium
Lineage: Bacteria
Description: partial 16S ribosomal RNA
Rfam family: Bacterial small subunit ribosomal RNA
Source: RNAcentral
GAUGAACGCUGGCGGCGUGCCUAAUACAUGCAAGUCGAGCGAACGGACGAGAAGCUUGCUUCUCUGAUGUUAGCGGCGGACGGGUGAGUAACACGUGGAUAACCUACCUAUAAGACUGGGAUAACUUCGGGAAACCGGCGCUAAUACCGGAUAAUAUUUUGAACCGCAUGGUUCAAAAGUGAAAGACGGUCUUGCUGUCACUUAUAGAUGGAUCCGCGCUGCAUUAGCUAGUUGGUAAGGUAACGGCUUACCAAGGCAACGAUGCAUAGCCGACCUGAGAGGGUGAUCGGCCACACUGGAACUGAGACACGGUACAGACUCCUACGGGAGGCAGCAGUAGGGAAUCUUCCGCAAUGGGCGAAAGCCUGACGGAGCAAAGCCGCGUGAGUGAUGAAGGUCUUCGGAUCGGAAAACUCUGUUAGUAGGGAAGAACAUAUGUGUAAGUAACUGUGCACAUCUUGACGGUACCUAAUCAGAAAGCCACGGCUAACUACGUG